Molecule: ribosomal RNA, 754 nt
Filed under: uncultured bacterium
Lineage: Bacteria
Description: bacterial SSU rRNA
Rfam family: Bacterial small subunit ribosomal RNA
Source: RNAcentral
AGAGUUUGAUCAUGGCUCAGAUUGAACGCUGGCGGCAGGCUUAACACAUGCAAGUCGAGCGGUAACAGGGGGAGCUUGCUUCCCGCUGACGAGCGGCGGACGGGUGAGUAAUGCUUAGGAAUCUGCCCAGUAGUGGGGGAUAGCCCGGGGAAACCCGGAUUAAUACCGCAUACGUCCUACGGGAGAAAGCAGGGGAUCUUCGGACCUUGCGCUAUUGGAUGAGCCUAAGUCGGAUUAGCUAGUUGGUGGGGUAAAGGCCUACCAAGGCGACGAUCCGUAGCUGGUCUGAGAGGAUGAUCAGCCACAUCGGGACUGAGACACGGCCCGAACUCCUACGGGAGGCAGCAGUGGGGAAUAUUGGACAAUGGGGGCAACCCUGAUCCAGCCAUGCCGCGUGUGUGAAGAAGGCUUUCGGGUUGUAAAGCACUUUCAGUAGGGAGGAAAACCUUAUGGCUAAUACCCAUGAGGCUUGACGUUACCUACAGAAGAAGCACCGGCUAACUCCGUGCCAGCAGCCGCGGUAAUACGGAGGGUGCAAGCGUUAAUCGGAAUUACUGGGCGUAAAGCGCGCGUAGGUGGUUUGGUAAGCGAGAUGUGAAAGCCCCGGGCUUAACCUGGGAACGGCAUUUCGAACUGUCAGACUAGAGUGUGGUAGAGGGUAGUGGAAUUUCCUGUGUAGCGGUGAAAUGCGUAGAUAUAGGAAGGAACACCAGUGGCGAAGGCGGCUACCUGGACCAACACUGACACUGAGGUG